AGUGGCGGACGGGUGAGUAACACGUGGGUACCUACCUUGAGGUGAGGAAUACCGGCGAGAAAUCGCCGACAAAACCGCAUCCGCUUGGGCCACCAAGCAAAGUCGUAAGACGCCACAAGAUGGGCCUGCGCCCGAUUAGCUAGUUGGUGGGGUAAGAGCUUACCAAGGCGACGAUCGGUAGCUGGUCUGAGAGGAUGAUCAGCCACACUGGGAUUGAGAACGGCCCAG
This 228-nucleotide ribosomal RNA is filed under the name uncultured bacterium. RNAcentral describes it as "partial 16S ribosomal RNA". It matches the Rfam family "Bacterial small subunit ribosomal RNA", at positions 94 to 334 of the family's 1533-position model. The record is from RNAcentral.